AUACGGAGGGUGCAAGCGUUGUUCGGAAUUACUGGGCGUAAAGCGCGCGUAGGUGGUCUGUUAUGUCAGAUGUGAAAGUCCACGGCUCAACCGUGGAAGUGCAUUUGAAACUGGCAGACUUGAGUACUGGAGGGGGUAGUGGAAUUCCCGGUGUAGAGGUGAAAUUCGUAGAUAUCGGGAGGAAUACCGGUGGCGAAGGCGACUACCUGGCCAGACACUGACACUGAGGUGCGAAAGCGUGGGGAGCGAACAGGAUUAGAAACCCUAGUAGUCC
RNAcentral lists this ribosomal RNA (274 nucleotides) under uncultured bacterium. RNAcentral describes it as "partial 16S ribosomal RNA". It matches the Rfam family "Bacterial small subunit ribosomal RNA", at positions 523 to 796 of the family's 1533-position model. The record is from RNAcentral.